CUAAAGGUUUUAUUUAAAACCAUACAUUUUAUUUAUAAAAGUUUU
Non-coding RNA from Chaetura pelagica (chimney swift), 45 nucleotides. Lineage: Eukaryota; Metazoa; Chordata; Aves; Apodiformes; Apodidae. The record is from Rfam.